GACGAACGCUGGCGGCGUGCUUAACACAUGCAAGUCGAACGAUGAACCCGGAGCUUGCUCUGGGGGAUUAGUGGCGAACGGGUGAGUAACACGUGAGUAACCUGCCCUGGACUCUGGGAUAAGCGUUGGAAACGACGUCUAAUACCGGAUAGGACCUUGGAUCGCAUGAUCUGGGGUGGAAAGUUUUUUCGGUCUGGGAUGGACUCGCGGCCUAUCAGCUUGUUGGUGAGGUAAUGGCUCACCAAGGCGUCGACGGGUAGCCGGCCUGAGAGGGUGACCGGCCACACUGGGACUGAGACACGGCCCAGACUCCUACGGGAGGCAGCAGUGGGGAAUAUUGCACAAUGGGCGAAAGCCUGAUGCAGCAACGCCGCGUGCGGGAUGACGGCCUUCGGGAUGUAAACCGCUUUUAGUAGGGAAGAAGGGCUUCGGCUUGACGGUACCUGCAGAAAAAGGACCGGCUAACUACGUG
This 472-nucleotide ribosomal RNA is filed under the name uncultured bacterium. RNAcentral describes it as "partial 16S ribosomal RNA". It matches the Rfam family "Bacterial small subunit ribosomal RNA", at positions 28 to 507 of the family's 1533-position model. The record is from RNAcentral.